This 617-nucleotide long non-coding RNA is filed under the name Physcomitrium patens. RNAcentral's name for it is "long non-coding RNA (PPAT_LNC002159)". The record is from RNAcentral. Lineage: Eukaryota; Viridiplantae; Streptophyta; Bryopsida; Funariales; Funariaceae.
AUUUUAAAGAAAUUAUGUAAUAAAACACAAAGCAUUCCUAAAGAUUCUUUAAAUAAAUCAUAAAGAAAUAACAUAGAAAUCAAAAUAUACUAAAAUAAAAAUCUUAAUAAAAUAUUAAAAUAGAAAACUUAAUUAAAUCCAAAUUAAAAUCUAAUAAAAUUUUAGUCAAAUCUAAGUCAAAUCUUAAUCAAAUCCUAAAUAAAUCUUAGUCAAAUCCUAACCAAAUCCUAAAUAAAUCCUAAUCAAAUCCUAAUCAAAUCCUAACCAAAUCCUAACCAAAUCCUAAACAAAUCCUAAAAAAAUCUUAACCAUAUUCUAAAUAAAUUUUAAUUAAAUCCUAUUCAAAUCCUAAAUAAAUUAUAACCAAAUUCCAAACAAAUCCUAAAUAAAACCUAAAUAAAACCUAAAAAAACCUUAACCAAACCUUAAACAAAUCUUAAUCAAAUCUUAAAUGAAUCCUAGUCAAAUCCUAAUCAAAUCCUAAAUAAAUCUUAAUCAAAUCUUAAAUGAAUCUUAGUCAAAUCCUAAAUAAAACUUAACCCAAUCUUAAUCAAAUCCUAAAAAAAUCUUAAUCAAAUCCUAAAUAAACCUUAAUCGAAUCCUAAAUAAAUCCUUAC